This 429-nucleotide ribosomal RNA is filed under the name Actinomycetes bacterium. RNAcentral describes it as "Actinobacteria bacterium partial 16S ribosomal RNA". It matches the Rfam family "Bacterial small subunit ribosomal RNA", at positions 355 to 776 of the family's 1533-position model. Lineage: Bacteria; Bacillati; Actinomycetota; Actinomycetes. The record is from RNAcentral.
UAGGGAAUCUUCCGCAAUGGGCGAAAGCCUGACGGAGCAACGCCGCGUGAGUGAUGAAGGUCUUCGGAUCGUAAAACUCUGUUAUUAGGGAAGAACAAAUGUGUAAGUAACUAUGCACGUCUUGACGGUACCUAAUCAGAAAGCCACGGCUAACUACGUGCCAGCAGCCGCGGUAAUACGUAGGUGGCAAGCGUUAUCCGGAAUUAUUGGGCGUAAAGCGCGCGUAGGCGGUUUUUUAAGUCUGAUGUGAAAGCCCACGGCUCAGCCGUGGAGGGUCAUUGGAAACUGGAAAACUUGAGUGCAGAAGAGGAAAGUGGAAUUCCAUGUGUAGCGGUGAAAUGCGCAGAGAUAUGGAGGAACACCAGUGGCGAAGGCGACUUUCUGGUCUGUAACUGACGCUGAUGUGCGAAAGCGUGGGGAUCAAACAGG